This 495-nucleotide ribosomal RNA is filed under the name uncultured bacterium. RNAcentral's name for it is "partial 16S ribosomal RNA". It matches the Rfam family "Bacterial small subunit ribosomal RNA", at positions 28 to 507 of the family's 1533-position model. The record is from RNAcentral.
GACGAACGCUGGCGGCGUGCCUAAUACAUGCAAGUAGAACGCUGAAGGAGGAGCUUGCUUCUCCGGAUGAGUUGCGAACGGGUGAGUAACGCGUAGGUAACCUGCCUGGUAGCGGGGGAUAACUAUUGGAAACGAUAGCUAAUACCGCAUAACAGUAGAUGUUGCAUGACAUUUGCUUAAAAGGUGCAAUUGCAUCACUACCAGAUGGACCUGCGUUGUAUUAGCUAGUUGGUGAGGUAACGGCUCACCAAGGCGACAAUACAUAGCCGACCUGAGAGGGUGAUCGGCCACACUGGGACUGAGACACGGCCCAGACUCCUACGGGAGGCAGCAGUAGGGAAUCUUCGGCAAUGGACGGAAGUCUGACCGAGCAACGCCGCGUGAGUGAAGAAGGUUUUCGGAUCGUAAAGCUCUGUUGUAAGAGAAGAACGAGUGUGAGAGUGGAAAGUUCACACUGUGACGGUAUCUUACCAGAAAGGGACGGCUAACUACGUG